CCUACGGGCUGCAGCAGUAGGGAAUCUUCGGCAAUGGACGAAAGCCUGACCGAGCAACGCCGCGUGAGUGGAGAAGGUUUUCGGAUUGUAAAACUCUGUUGUUAGAGAAGAACAAGUAGGAGAGUAACUGCUCUUACCUUGACGGUAUCUAACCAGAAAGCCACGGCUAACUACGUGCCAGCAGCCGCGGUAAUACGUAGGUGGCAAGCGUUGUCCGGAUUUAUUGGGCGUAAAGCGAGCGCAGGCGGUCUUUUAAGUCUGAUGUGAAAGCCCUCGGCUCAACCGAGGAAGGUCAUUGGAAACUGGAGGAUUUGAGUGCAGAAGAGGAGAGUGGGAUUCCAUGUGUAGCGGUGAAAUGCGUAGAUAUAUGGAGGAACACCAGUGGCGAAGGCGACUCUCUGGUCUGUAACUGACGCUGAGGCUCGAAAGCGUGGGGAGCAAACAGGAUUAGAUACCCCGGUAGUC
Molecule: ribosomal RNA, 465 nt
Filed under: uncultured bacterium
Lineage: Bacteria
Description: bacterial SSU rRNA
Rfam family: Bacterial small subunit ribosomal RNA
Source: RNAcentral